RNAcentral lists this microRNA (21 nucleotides) under Ornithorhynchus anatinus (platypus). RNAcentral's name for it is "oan-miR-1421i-5p". Lineage: Eukaryota; Metazoa; Chordata; Mammalia; Monotremata; Ornithorhynchidae. The record is from miRBase by way of RNAcentral.
AGGAGGCCGUAUCUCCUGCGG